Long non-coding RNA from Austrofundulus limnaeus, 1175 nucleotides. RefSeq lists it as uncharacterized. The transcript is spliced from 3 exons. The record is from RefSeq and is a predicted model, not a curated record. Lineage: Eukaryota; Metazoa; Chordata; Actinopteri; Cyprinodontiformes; Rivulidae.
UUAAUUAAUCAGUAAAACGUGUUGUUGAGUUAAUGUUAUUUAUGUUAAAUGUAUUAUUUAUAAAGCUGACGGACAGCCUACACAACAGGCAGCUAAUGACUCCUGGCAGGAGACAUCACAGAGACUACGUCAGAGGUCUUUGAUAGUACCUGUGCAGGGGUCUUUGGGGAGCUCUGUGCAGCAAAGCAUGGCCAGGUUUGGAUGUUGUCAGUCAAACGAUAUAUUAAAAUGUAAAUAUGUAAUUAGGAUGUAGUUGAAUAUUUUUUUCUUUUGAAAUUAACACAGACCUUGAUCUUUAAAUGAUUGUCCUACAUCACUAUUCUUUCUCAGUUAGAGGUGUCCUCCAUUGUGAAUUUAAAUUAUAUAUUUUUAGAUCUACAAAUGAUACAUCUUAAUUUUUUUUUUCACAUUUUCUUUCAGGAGUUUCCCUGGACUGUUUAAAGAAUGAACUAAUCCGAGACCCCCUUUGCAUUGGACUAAAAAAAGGUCCAGUAGCAAGGUUACACCUGUUCAGUUCUUCCUUUUGCAGAAAGCCUCAGACAAAACUCCCAAACACACUGAAGAGCUCAUGCUUCUACAGGCUGGGUUGGGAAGAAAUACAGUGAGUAUUUCUGAGGAUGCUAGCCAUAAAGAGGUCACAGAAAUUCUCUGUGAGGUGUUUCCAAAAGUGAAUCAACUGGAGGGGGCYUGGAUGCUCUACAAAGCUAUGGAUGCAGACCAUGAAGAGAAACUUGUUGSAAGUGGAGAAGAAAUGGCUGGCACAGCAGAAACCACUGGCAAGGGAAGCCAACGUCUUUCACUCCAGAAGUUCUUUCAGUGGGUCACAGGUCAUGCUCARGWACCACUGAUAGAGUCUCAGUGAAGCAUGUUCAAAAUCACRGUCAAUUUUGAGCAUAACUGCAYCUGCCUCUAUGGGGAACAUGUUGUGUGUUACCCAGUUGUCAAUGCCUGUGGGGUUAGUGUCACAUUUCCCAUCCUCCACACAGAAACAUACAGUGACUUUGAGAAGAACCUAAGCACUGCACUGGAGUUUGGUUAUGAAUUUAGCAGAUACUAAAUUACAACUCAAAACACAAGUUGAGUGAUGUAUUGUUCUGCAGCUAAAGCUGGCUGUUUUGUUUCAAAAUGGUGGAAAAUACUUUUAACUAUUUCUAAAAAUAAACAGUUUUCAAGGA